This 470-nucleotide ribosomal RNA is filed under the name uncultured organism. RNAcentral describes it as "partial 16S ribosomal RNA". It matches the Rfam family "Bacterial small subunit ribosomal RNA", at positions 331 to 797 of the family's 1533-position model. The record is from RNAcentral.
GUACACUCCUACGGGAGGCAGCAGUGAGGAAUAUUGGACAAUGGGUGGAAGCCUGAUCCAGCCAUCCCGCGUGCAGGAAGACGGCCCUAUGGGUUGUAAACUGCUUUUAUCUGGGGAUAAACCUACUUACGUGUAAGUAGCUGAAGGUACCAGAAGAAUAAGCACCGGCUAACUCCGUGCAAGCAGCCGCGGUAAUACGGAGGGUGCAAGCGUUAUCCGGAUUUAUUGGGUUUAAAGGGUCCGUAGGCGGACUGAUAAGUCAGUGGUGAAAUCCGACAGCUUAACUGUCGAACUGCCAUUGAUACUGUUAGUCUUGAGUAAGGUUGAAGUGGCUGGAAUAAGUAGUGUAGCGGUGAAAUGCAUAGAUAUUACUUAGAACACCAAUUGCGAAGGCAGGUCACUAAGUCUUAACUGACGCUGAUGGACGAAAGCGUGGGGAGCGAACAGGAUUAGAAACCCUUGUAGUCCCA